RNAcentral lists this long non-coding RNA (448 nucleotides) under Homo sapiens (human). RNAcentral's name for it is "non-protein coding lnc-PDIA5-1:1". Lineage: Eukaryota; Metazoa; Chordata; Mammalia; Primates; Hominidae. The record is from RNAcentral.
GCAGCCGAGCCUCACCACAGCAGUUCCACUAGAAAGAGCUAGAGAUUGGUGGAGGCUGGGAGAAGUGAUUCUCCAGUCAGGAUUGGGUGAGAACGUGAGCAAGAUCACACACAGAGCACAAGCCUUUGCACUCUUAGUCCAGACAUGGUUACACUUCACUUGGCUAGGAUGAGACCGAGUCUCAGGGGACCAAAGGCCACAUGAGGGCCCAAGGAGAAGAUGUAGCAGCAGCAGUGUUAACCUGAACCAGUAGUUCUCAGCCAGGAGUAAUUUUGCCCUUGGGGGAACUUUGGUAAUGUCUGGAGGCAUUUUGGGCUGUCACAAAUGAAGGUGCUACUGGCAUCACACAGGUGGAAGCCAGGGAAGCUGCCAAACAUCCUACAAGGCAUAGGACAGUCCCCUUCCGCCACAUCAAGAAUUAUCCAUCUCCAAUUUCCAAUGUGCUGCU